This 28-nucleotide small RNA is filed under the name Bombyx mori (domestic silkworm). RNAcentral describes it as "ovarian small RNA-21780". The record is from RNAcentral. Lineage: Eukaryota; Metazoa; Arthropoda; Insecta; Lepidoptera; Bombycidae.
UAGAACGAAAAUUUGGCCAAUCACAAAC